CCUACGGGAGGCAGCAGUGAGGAAUAUUGGUCAAUGGACGAGAGUCUGAACCAGCCAAGUAGCGUGAAGGAGGAAUGCCCAAAGGGUUGUAAACUUCUUUUAUAUGGGAAUAAAAUCUGCCACGCGUGGGAUUUUGUAUGUACCAUAUGAAUAAGGAUCGGCUAACUCCGUGCCAGCAGCCGCGGUAAUACGGAGGAUCCGAGCGUUAUCCGGAUUUAUUGGGUUUAAAGGGAGCGUAGGUGGUUUGUUAAGUCAGUUGUGAAAGUUUGGGGCUCAACCGUAAAAUUGCAGUUGAAACUGGCAGUCUUGAGUAGAGUAGAGGUGGGCGGAAUGCGGGGUGUAGCGGUGAAAUGCUUAGAUAUCACGAAGAACUCCGAUUGCGAAGGCAGCUCGCUGGACUGCAACUGACACUGAGGCUCGAAAGUGUGGGUAUCAAACAGGAUUAGAUACCCUAGUAGUC
RNAcentral lists this ribosomal RNA (460 nucleotides) under uncultured bacterium. Its description in RNAcentral is "partial 16S ribosomal RNA". It matches the Rfam family "Bacterial small subunit ribosomal RNA", at positions 338 to 795 of the family's 1533-position model. The record is from RNAcentral.